GCGGGUGUAGCUCAGUGGUAGAGCCCCUGCCUUCCAAGCAGGCUGCGUGGGUUCGAUUCCCAUCACCCGCU
RNAcentral lists this transfer RNA (71 nucleotides) under Aquisphaera giovannonii. RNAcentral describes it as "Isosphaera-like str. OJF2 tRNA". It matches the Rfam family "tRNA". From Rfam's summary of the family: Transfer RNA (tRNA) molecules are approximately 80 nucleotides in length. RNAcentral also lists the same sequence under 5 other names. The record is from Rfam by way of RNAcentral. Lineage: Bacteria; Pseudomonadati; Planctomycetota; Planctomycetia; Isosphaerales; Isosphaeraceae.